Molecule: non-coding RNA, 125 nt
Organism: Triticum aestivum (bread wheat)
Lineage: Eukaryota; Viridiplantae; Streptophyta; Magnoliopsida; Poales; Poaceae
Source: Rfam
GUACUACUCCCUCCAUCCGGAAACAUUUGUCGGAGAAAUGGAUGUAUCUAGACAUAUUUUAGUUCUAGAUAUAUCCAUUUUUAUUCAUUUAUGCGACAAAUAAUUCCGGAUGGAGGGAGUACUUG